UACGAAGGGGGCUAGCGUUGCUCGGAAUCACUGGGCGUAAAGCGCACGUAGGCGGGUUCUUAAGUCAGGGGUGAAAUCCUGGAGCUCAACUCCAGAACUGCCUUUGAUACUGGGAAUCUCGAGUCCGGGAGAGGUGAGUGGAACUGCGAGUGUAGAGGUGAAAUUCGUAGAUAUUCGGAGGAACACCAGUGGCGAAGGCGGGUCUCUGGGCCGUAACUGACGCUGAGGAGCGAAAGCGUGGGGAGCGAACAGG
Molecule: ribosomal RNA, 253 nt
Filed under: uncultured bacterium
Lineage: Bacteria
Description: partial 16S ribosomal RNA
Rfam family: Bacterial small subunit ribosomal RNA
Source: RNAcentral